CGGAUGUUAUUACUUGCUCGAUUGAUAUUAGGACUGCUAGGAGCAUCGUUGGGGCCCAAGGCCCAAUCCUGACUAUGGUCGACUGUCAAGCUUGGGCUAAUGAGAUAUCUGCUCAGAUGCUUGGCUUACAGAUAUUGCAACUGAGGAUAGAGAGGAGAUCUACAACAAAUGAAGAACUUUAUGCUGUGGAGUGGAUAGAGGGAAGAUCUACAACAAAUGAAGAACUUUAUGCUGUGG
Molecule: long non-coding RNA, 237 nt
Filed under: Capsicum annuum
Lineage: Eukaryota; Viridiplantae; Streptophyta; Magnoliopsida; Solanales; Solanaceae
Description: long non-coding RNA (CANN_LNC010947)
Source: RNAcentral